GUCCUAGCCGUAAACGUUGGGUGCUAGGUGUGGGCGGAUAUCGACCCCGUCCGUGCCGAAGCUAACGCAUUAAGCACCCCGCCUGGGGAGUACGGCCGCAAGGCUAAAACUCAAAGGAAUUGACGGGGCCCGCACAAGCGGCGGAGCAUGUGGCUUAAUUCGAAGCAACGCGAAGAACCUUACCUGGGCUUGACAUGCGGGGUGAAACCGUAGAGAUACGGCGCUCCUCGGAGCCCGCACAGGUGGUGCAUGGCUGUCGU
RNAcentral lists this ribosomal RNA (260 nucleotides) under uncultured bacterium. Its description in RNAcentral is "partial 16S ribosomal RNA". It matches the Rfam family "Bacterial small subunit ribosomal RNA", at positions 793 to 1055 of the family's 1533-position model. The record is from RNAcentral.